GCCCGUGAAGUCUUCGGUGGUGCCGCCGAAGCAGUUCGAGGAAGGCGGAUGCGAAGGCUUCGGGGUUCUCGCCGGGUACUUCAGGGACGAUCGCCGUCGCGAGUGCCGCCCAAGACGGUACCUUUUUCAGCUGAAUUCUAACAGCAAAUUACCUCAGUCAUGGAAGGGCGCAAUGUUGCUGUUGGUCUGGUACAGAGAGAAGCCGCAAAGGUACGAUCGAGCCUGGAAAGAUGUCAGUGGAAGGAUUACUAUUGAGUUGCAACAUCAGGAAAGGAAUCGUGAGGAAUGUCUACGUUUAUCCAGCAAAGCAAGUUCCUGUGACAGCCAUCCACAGGCUUCCUCCCUGUUA
This is a long non-coding RNA of Musa acuminata AAA Group (dessert banana), 349 nucleotides long. RefSeq lists it as uncharacterized. NCBI's taxonomy places the organism in Eukaryota, Viridiplantae, Streptophyta, Magnoliopsida, Zingiberales, Musaceae. The record is from RefSeq and is a predicted model, not a curated record. The transcript has 3 exons.